GAAAACUCCGGUGGUGUAAGAUGGGCCCGCGUCUGAUUAGGUAGUUGGCGGGGUAACGGCCCACCAAGCCGACGAUCAGUAGCCGGCCUGAGAGGGUGGACGGCCACAUUGGGACUGAGACACGGCCCAAACUCCUACGGGAGGCAGCAGUGGGGGAUAUUGCACAAUGGGCGCAAGCCUGAUGCAGCGACGCCGCGUGAGCGAAGAAGUAUUUCGGUAUGUAAAGCUCUAUCAGCAGGGAAGAAAAUGACGGUACCUGACUAAGAAGCUCCGGCUAAAUACGUGCCAGCAGCCGCGGUAAUACGUAUGGAGCAAGCGUUAUCCGGAUUUACUGGGUGUAAAGGGAGCGUAGGCGGCUCUGUAAGUCUGAUGUGAAAAUUUGGGGCUCAACCCCAAACGUGCAUUGGAAACUGCAGGGCUUGAGUGCCGGAGAGGCAGGCGGAAUUCCUAGUGUAGCGGUGAAAUGCGUAGAUAUUAGGAGGAACACCAGUGGCGAAGGCGGCCUGCUGGACGGUAACUGACGCUGAGGCUCGAAAGCGUGGGGAGCAAACAGGAUUAGAUACCCUGGUAGUCCACGCUGUAAACGAUGAAUACUAGGUGUCGGGGAGCAAAGCUCUUCG
Molecule: ribosomal RNA, 620 nt
Filed under: uncultured bacterium
Lineage: Bacteria
Description: bacterial SSU rRNA
Rfam family: Bacterial small subunit ribosomal RNA
Source: RNAcentral